Long non-coding RNA from Phragmites australis (common reed), 609 nucleotides. RefSeq lists it as uncharacterized. The record is from RefSeq and is a predicted model, not a curated record. The transcript has 2 exons. NCBI's taxonomy places the organism in Eukaryota, Viridiplantae, Streptophyta, Magnoliopsida, Poales, Poaceae.
UAAACAUAUAUUUGACAACCUAACUCUACCAAGACACAUUUAAUCUAAUUAAUCUACCGCGUCUCGUUUUGCGGAGGAACUCGCGAUCUGGAUGGAGAUAGGGCUGGGCGUUCGCUCCCUCUGCUCCGCAAGCACGGGUUGUCGACAUCUUCAUUGAAGAACGGAUCGAGGACAGAUACAGGACUGGGUUGCUCUUGCUUCUCAUGGCUUCCCUCAAGAGAAAAUUGUGAUAUCAGCUCAACCGAUGCACUUGAUCGGGGAGUUGCUGGCUCUUGGCAUUCUGACUUUUCAACAACAUUCUCAAGGGAGCUUGGAAACAUCCCAACAUGCUUUUUUCCUGGUUCUGCUCCUUCCACAUUAUUCUUCAAUGUAAAAUACACGAAUUCAUCAAAAUAAGAAAAGCUUUGGAAACAAGAUGGAGCUACUGAGUAUUGGCUGGAACAUACUAGCGAUGGGUUAUAUCUGCAUUGCUCUUCUGGGAUGCACCAUGAAUUGCUAAUUUUUUCCGAGCAAUCCAGCUUGUCAAUUUCUUCAGUGCGCACAGUGUCAAGUUCAGCACCUGCAAAUAUUCUAUUCUAUAUGAGAAAAUAACCCUGUGCUAUUCAAUCA